CCUACGGGAGGCAGCAGUGGGGAAUCUUAGACAAUGGGCGCAAGCCUGAUCUAGCCAUGCCGCGUGUGUGAUGAAGGCCUUAGGGUCGUAAAGCACUUUCGCCAGAGAUGAUAAUGACAGUAUCUGGUAAAGAAACCCCGGCUAACUCCGUGCCAGCAGCCGCGGUAAUACGGAGGGGGUUAGCGUUGUUCGGAAUUACUGGGCGUAAAGCGUACGUAGGCGGAUUAGUAAGUUAGAGGUGAAAUCCCAGGGCUCAACCCUGGAACUGCCUUUAAUACUGCUAGUCUUGAGUUCGAGAGAGGUAAGUGGAAUUCCGAGUGUAGAGGUGAAAUUCGUAGAUAUUCGGAGGAACACCAGUGGCGAAGGCGGCUUACUGGCUCGAUACUGACGCUGAGGUGCGAAAGUGUGGGGAGCAAACAGGAUUAGAUACCCUGGUAGUCCACACCGUAAACGAUGAAUGCCAGACGUCAGCAAGUAUACUUGUUGGUGUCACACCUAACGGAUUAAGCAUUCCGCCUGGGGAGUACGGUCGCAAGAUUAAAACUCAAAGGAAUUGACGG
RNAcentral lists this ribosomal RNA (560 nucleotides) under uncultured bacterium. RNAcentral's name for it is "bacterial SSU rRNA". It matches the Rfam family "Bacterial small subunit ribosomal RNA", at positions 338 to 916 of the family's 1533-position model. The record is from RNAcentral.